Cyanistes caeruleus (blue tit) is the source of this 2106-nucleotide long non-coding RNA. The record is from Ensembl. Lineage: Eukaryota; Metazoa; Chordata; Aves; Passeriformes; Paridae.
CAGACAUAAUCUUGUUCUUGGAAUUAGCUUUUAAUUUAUUACAAUUUAUCAUUUUAGCCAGUUCUAAUGAAAAACCCAAUGCUAAAUAACAUUACAUCAAUAAUUUAAUCAAAAUCACUCCCCAGUAUAUGUUUAUAUUUUAGUUCUGGUAUUUAAUAUCUAGGUAUGCCUAGUCUGUAAAGGCAGUGGGACACAAGGUACACACAAUUUAAGGCCAAUGCAUGUGAGGUGCUGCUGGUGGGGCCUGGAAACAUCAUGUAAUGCACAGGAUGCAAACUCAGUUGCAAAGUACUGAAAUCAAAAUCUGCUUUACUAACUUACUGUUGACAAGCUGUACAAAGCAUAGAAAUAAUAACUACAGAUAUUUUUCUUUUAUCUAUGUAACUAAUUUUGGUUAGUUUAGACUUGACAUCCCUGCUUUUUAUUUCAAAGAAGGAUCAUAAGAUUGAAAGAAAAAAGGACUAAGUCUUCAAUGAAUAUAAAACAAUAGUGAUUUAUACUGUCCUGUGAAUCUUUUUUUUUUUUUCCUGCUCUGAUUUUUACAUUUUCCCCUGAUGUUCUGACUAGCAAAAUGCCACCACCAGUUUGAAGAGAGACAAACUUAUUCCAUUAUGACACAGCAGCUAUGACAACCUCUUUUAUUGUUGCUUAAUGGUAUGUUCAAGAAUGUCAAAACAGCUUCCAAAUAUUUCUGGUUUGCUGUCUCAGGGACAUGAAAACAGCAGCUUCACAUGAAAUAUUAUUCAGAACAGCUUAAUACUUUGAGAGCAUUUCUUGGCAUUGGUUUUCAGAGGAUCCUGAGCUUGCACUCCCACACAAAUCCCAUUUUUAUCUGCCACUGCUCUGGAGAGAGGCUGAGAUGAAAAGUGUGUUGUGAAAAGGAGAUUCAGGACUGCCAUUCCCUGGAUUUAAAUUAUGAAUAACCAUGAUCCACACACCACCAACCAUCUGUCCCCAGAGCUGUGGCUUGAAGGAAAGAAGCAAGAAGGAAUGAUCAGUGACAGAACUGUGCUUGCCUGUAGCUCUGGGAUGAGGCUGUCCUGGACUCCAGGUGUGGGGGAAGAGUGUGGGCACUUUGGUUUCCACAUCCUACAAGAGAGGUAGAGGUUCUGUUUUGGGUGCAUGUUCAUCUCAGCUCUCAGUGAGGCACAGGAACAGCAAGAGCAUAUCCUGAGCCUAGGAGAUGGACCUUUGCCUAAAUCUAAUCCUGAGUCAGAUCAGAACACUGAACCCUUGACCCUGCUUCAUGCACCUGGCUUUGGUGAGUAUGGUUCUCAAGUGAGAUGAAAGAACUGUGGAACAGAAAUUCCAUGGGAAAUACAUGCCUAAUAGUAUAAAAGAGGUUAGUGUUAUUUUCAUUUCAACAGUCCUUGAUGGAUUUUCCUUUGUUAGGUUAAGAAAUGAAUAUUGGCAUUUCCCUGUUCCCUUUACCUGAUUCAAGUGCCUUGUGGGUUAUAUAAAAGAUCAGGAGUAGUAUUUUCCAGGUCAGUAGUUAAAUACUGCUCUGGUUCUAGUUGUAUUUUUCCAUAUUCUAUCAGCAGGAAAAUUUAUCCCAGAAGAGAACAAACAGAAAUAUGACAGAAAGAACUUACUUACUGUCUGGUAUGCACCUUGCUUAUCUCCCUUUUUUUUUUUUUCCUUUUUUUUUUUUUUUUUUAAGAAUGAUAUGCUAUAGAGUGACACCACUUUGAACAUGUUUUCCCAUCACUGCUCUACCAGCUCUCAAAACUGCUUUUGUUUGGAUAUUGUUAUUAUCUGCUAGACACUGAUAGGAAUGUGGAGUCACUCACUGAGAAAGGGAAACAUGGUUCUCAUUCAGAAGGAAUGCAGCUUCAGCCAUGCUGUCUACAGCUCUGUUCUAUUUGAUGUCGAGCCGCGGGAUCUUGUGGCAGUAAAAAUCAUUGUGAUUUAUAGGAAAAUGUCACUCCGGCUGUCUCCUCUAUAAAAUCUUUUUACUACUCUUAUUGAAUAUAAAUCAGAAUUAUUUGUCCAACAAUAUCAUAGUUUUGGCAAAAUGUUGUGAAGACAAAAAAUAAUCAUGUUCAAAUUGCCUUGGCUUUAUUCUACAGAGAGAUAUUACUGGAAUCUAUUGCCUUGCCAAGAUCA